CGAAGGUGGCAAGCGUUACUCGGAAUUACUAGGCGUAAAGGGCAGGUAGGUGGUUUGGUUAGUCUGUUGUGAAAGCUCCUUGCUUAACGAGGAGAGGCCAACAGAUACUGCCAGGCUUGAGUAUAGGAGAGGGUACUGGAAUUCCCGGUGUAGCGGUGAAAUGCGCAGAGAUCGGGAGGAACACCAAUGGCGAAAGCAGGUACCUGGACUAUUACUGACACUCAGCUGCGAAAGCUAGGGGAGCAAACAGGAUUAGAUACCCUGGUAGUCCUAGCCGUAAACGAUGCACAUUAGGCGUGAGGGGUAUCGACCCCCUUCGUGCCGAAGCAAACGCAUUAAAUGUGCCGCCUGGGGAGUACGGCCGCAAGGUUG
RNAcentral lists this ribosomal RNA (372 nucleotides) under uncultured organism. Its description in RNAcentral is "bacterial SSU rRNA". It matches the Rfam family "Bacterial small subunit ribosomal RNA", at positions 526 to 896 of the family's 1533-position model. The record is from RNAcentral.